This 345-nucleotide unclassified non-coding RNA is filed under the name soil metagenome. RNAcentral's name for it is "partial contains 5.8S ribosomal RNA, internal transcribed spacer 2, and large subunit ribosomal RNA". The stretch from base 1 to 119 matches the Rfam family "5.8S ribosomal RNA", at positions 35 to 154 of the family's 154-position model. The record is from RNAcentral.
GAUGAAGAACGUAGCGAAAUGCGAUACGUAAUGUGAAUUGCAAAUUCAGUGAAUCAUCGAGUCUUUGAACGCACAUUGCGCCCCCUGGUAUUCCGGGGGGCAUGCCUGUCCGAGCGUCAUUGCUGCCCUCAAGCACGGCUUGUGUGUUGGGCCCCGUCCCCCGAUCCCGGGGGACGGGCCCGAAAGGCAGCGGCGGCACCGCGUCCGGUCCUCGAGCGUAUGGGGCUUUGUCACCCGCUCUGUAGGCCCGGCCGGCGCUUGCCGAUCAACCCAAAUUUUUAUCCAGGUUGACCUCGGAUCAGGUAGGGAUACCCGCUGAACUUAAGCAUAUCAAUAAGCGGAGGA